Molecule: ribosomal RNA, 468 nt
Filed under: uncultured bacterium
Lineage: Bacteria
Description: partial 16S ribosomal RNA
Rfam family: Bacterial small subunit ribosomal RNA
Source: RNAcentral
GACGAACGCUGGCGGCGUGCUUAACACAUGCAAGUCGAACGGAAAGGCCCUGCUCUUGUGGGGUGCUCGAGUGGCGAACGGGUGAGUAACACGUGAGUAACCUGCCCUUGACUUUGGGAUAACUUCAGGAAACUGGGGCGAAUACCGGAUAGGAGCUCCUGAUGCAUGGUGGGGGUUGGAAAGUGUCGGCGGUGGUGGAUGGACUCGCGGCUUAUCAGCUUGUUGGUGGGGUAGUGGCUUACCACGGCUUUGACGGGUAGCCGGCCUGAGAGGGUGACCGGCCACAUUGGGCCUGCGAUACGGCCCAGACUCCUACGUGAGGCAGCAGUGGGGAAUAUUGCACAAUGGGCGGAAGCCUGAUGCAGCAACGCCGCGUGCGGGAUGACGGCCUUCGGGUUGUAAACCGCUUUCGCCUGUGACGAAGCGUGAGUGACGGUAAUGGGUAAAGAAGCACCGGCUAACUACGUG